CUCAUAUUCUGAAGAUCCCAAUUGUCUAAGAUUUGAUACACAGAGGUUAUUCUUCAAGGGUGAUAUAGAUUGCUGUGAAAGACUUUGAUAAAAAUAAUACCCACUAUUAAGAAAUGUAAUGUAGAAAAUAUUCUGAGAUGACCUUCUCUUACAUGUUAAUCACCUGGUUAAAAGAAUAAAAUCACUAUUUCCCAAAGUGAGUCUAGAAUAUACAGCUCACUCUCUGAACCUUUUUUAGUUUCUAAUUACUUUUCAAGCAUCUCCCAUUGCUGAAAUGGAACUAGUACAUCAACUGCUACAAUAUGCGAAAUAAUUACACCUGCUUUGACACAGAGCACAGCGAAAAGCAGACUAGUUCUGAACUCUGAACUAUGCUUUCACUCACGAACUCACGACCUAACGGUGUUCUUGUGAAACAGCUACUAGAAAUUAUUAAAUGUUCUUCAUUCACUAAACUGGUAAUAACAAACCAAGAGGCCAACAGCAAAUUAUUAACUCAUUAACUCUAAAGAAAUAACCCCCCAAAAAAACACCCUAUGAUUUGUCUAACACUGACAAUGCCCAGUCUUUUAACAAGUUGUAAACCAAAUCACACACGUAUAUAUACACAGCUAUUUUUACUAGAAUUGAAGUGAGAUUUCAAUUCUUCAAAACAGAAUUGAAGUGAGACUAUACAUUCUUUGAAUUGGAAUGAAUUUGAGAAGCCCCAUUUUGAAGAAUGUGUUCUAUGGCUUCAGAGGACUUGGAAAAAAUUCCUUCCAAAUCACCCACUGAAAUCCAAGAGCAGAUUAUGAGGAUCUCUAGCCAGGCUCAAUACUGUUUGAAACACAUGAAAGACUUACUCCUCUAAAAAUGCUGUCAUCCUGGAAUCACUGUAAAGCUUCCUGUUGAAAAAGGUUCACAGUGCACCCACCUGAGAUGUCCUUAGUCUUUGAUGUUAUAUAUCACCUCGUAACUCUUACACUUAACUGAAGGGUCAUUGUGAUACUUCACAUAAGAAAAAUGUCAUAAUGUCUCUAGUAUCUACUUCAAAAAUAUUUUUUUAAAUAAAGAAAUGAAGCAAAAGGACAAGAUACUAAAAAAGAAAGGCACAAUCAGCCAGACAUAAACUUAAAAGUAAAAUAGAUUUAAGCUCCAGGUUAUCAAAGAGAGCAAAGAAUUCUGAUUACGUUUGGCAGAAAUGACUCAUAUGAGACAAAGAAGUUCACAGAAAAGGAAAGCAAACCUGAGUUAUAAGAGUGAGCAAUAAUGGACUGGUGAAUAGGCAAUCUUGAGGUGCUACACAUCUCUCAGCCUAUAAGAAACCUGAGCAUAGGUGGAAGAGGAAGUGACCGGAGUAGAGAAGAUCCUUUUUGUAAGGUCACAAGCAGAAUAAUAAGCAACAAGGGUAGGCACUUGAGGUCAGGAACAGGCCAGAACAAUGAAGAAGAGUUUUUUACUUUAUCUCUUCACUCCUGAAUAGCUGAAUACAGUAAGAAUGAAAACUGCAAAAACUAGAAGGUAGGGUGACUGCUUUUGAUUGCACUGUCAGUAGGAAAGAUGGGGCAGUUUUUCCAGAAGACUGAACAGAAUGACUGUCUCCUAAAGAAGAAAAGAAAACUGAAGCCCAAUGAAGGACACAUGAUGAACUGUGGAACUGGAACUAGAAACCAAGUCUUUGGACAGGGUUCAUUGCUUUCCAUUAUAAUAGUGACAUAAAUUUAACCGAUUACUGCCAACAAGAAAUGGUUGAUAUUUUGAACAAUUUAUAAAGUGAUGCAAGGUAAAAUAAAAGAUUGCUUAGUUGAACUCUACAGAAAAGAUGAAAGAAAGGUGACAUAUUGAAACAUAUUGAUUUGACAUCACAAAAAAAUAUGUGUACCUCUCACUCUAUCGUUCAUGCUCUCAUUCUCUUUUUCUUCCUUUCUAAUUUAUAUAUCAUCAAUUUCUGGAAAAGGAUUGAUGGAAGUUCUUUGGCUGACUCCCAGGAAAGUAAUAAUGUAGUAAAAUUAUUUUCAAAUUCCUAGCUAGAUUGCUUGCCUCCAGAUUGUGAAGAACCAACAACAUUGCUUAUAGAAAAAUAGCCAUGUAUGUCAUAAAUGCUUUUAUGCUUUAUAUGACUGGAAUCAUAUUAUUUACAUUCUCUAUGGUCAGCAUUUAUUUACUUAUUUAUUCUUUUAUGGUCAGCAUUUAUGUCUGAUAUUAUGUUCUUCAUAUUCAUCUAUGUUGUUCUGUGUAAUCUGUAGUUUAGUUUUUACUGCUGUAUGUGAAAUUCCAUUGUAUAUAUAGACCACAGUUUGUUUAUCCUUUGUGUUGUUGACAGACAUUUGGGCUGUUUCCAGGCUUUGGCUGUAACAAAUUCUGGUGUGAACAUUCUUUUACAAGUAUCCUAAUGCACAUAUGCAAGUGUUUCUGUAGGGGACAUAUAUUCUUAGGAGUAUAAUUGCUGGGUCAUAGAGUAAGGGCAUCAACUUUAUUGGAUAAUGUCAUAGUGUUUUUCCAGAGUGAAUGUUGUGCCAAUUUACACUCCCAGUAGCCAUGUAACAGUUUUGAUUGACUGAGGUAUAGUUAGCAUACAGUGUUACACUAGUUUCAGAUAUACAACAUAAUGAUUGGACUAGUUAUGCUAUAGUCAUGUAACAGCCAUAUAACAGUUUUAUUUGCUCUGUAACCACAUCUUAGAUUUGUUUUUGUCAAUUGACUCUUGCCAAUGUGGUAGCUCAGUGUAGUAUGUAUGUAUGUAUGUAUGUAUGUAUGUAUGUAUGUAUGUAUUUUUAAGGCUUUAUUUAUUGAAUUGAGAGAGAGAGAGAGAGAGUACAUGGGUAGGGGGAAGAGCUGAGGGAGAAGCAAACUCCCUGCUAAGCAGGGAGCAUGAUGCUGGGCUUGAUCUCGGGACCUCAGGGUCAUGAGCUGAAGGCAGAUGCUUAAGGAACUGAGCCACCCAAGUGCCCCAGUGUAGUUUAAACUUGCAUAUCCUUGAGUAAUAAUGAGAUUACACAUGGUUUCUUAGGCUUUUUUGUCAUUUAUGUUUCCACUUCUAUUACUUUUCAAGAUUUUUGUCCAUUUUCCAUUGGGUUUAUUUGUCUUUUAUCAUUGAUUUGGACAAAACUUUUUAAACAUAUUUUCUGGACACUAAUCAUUUGACAGUAAUUUGUGAGACAAAUAUUUUCUUUCAGUUUAUGAUUUAUCUUCUCAGUUUUUAAUGGAUUUUUUUUAGUAAACACAAGCAUUAAAUUUUAAUGUAGUCAA
Molecule: long non-coding RNA, 3228 nt
Organism: Canis lupus familiaris (dog)
Lineage: Eukaryota; Metazoa; Chordata; Mammalia; Carnivora; Canidae
Exons: 6
Source: RefSeq, a predicted model, not a curated record